This 236-nucleotide ribosomal RNA is filed under the name uncultured bacterium. RNAcentral's name for it is "partial 16S ribosomal RNA". It matches the Rfam family "Bacterial small subunit ribosomal RNA", at positions 118 to 350 of the family's 1533-position model. The record is from RNAcentral.
UGAGGAACAUGACUUUCGGUGGGGGAGUAGCCGGCCCAACGGCCGGGUAAUACCGCGUACGACCACUUUGGGACAUCCCUCGGUGGUGAAAGCAGCAAUGCGCCGAUGGAGUGCCUCGCGGCCUAUCAGCUAGUUGGUGAGGUAACGGCUCACCAAGGCAUCGAUGGGUAGCUGGUCUGAGAGGACGAUCAGCCACACUGGGACUGAGACACGGCCCAGACCCCGUACGGGAGGCA